UACAGAGGUCUCAAGCGUUGUUCGGAUUCAUUGGGCGUAAAGGGUGCGUAGGUGGCGUCGUAAGUGGGGUGUGAAAUCCCGGGGCUUAACCCCGGGACUGCAUUCCAUACUGCGGUGCUUGAGGACUGGAGAGGAGACUGGAAUUUACGGUGUAGCAGUGAAAUGCGUAGAGAUCGUAAGGAGGACCAGUGGCGAAGGCGGGUCUCUGGACAGUUCCUGACACUGAGGCACGAAGGCCAGGGGAGCAAACGGG
This 253-nucleotide ribosomal RNA is filed under the name uncultured bacterium. RNAcentral's name for it is "partial 16S ribosomal RNA". It matches the Rfam family "Bacterial small subunit ribosomal RNA", at positions 524 to 776 of the family's 1533-position model. The record is from RNAcentral.